CACUUCGGGGGAGAGUAGUAGUGGCGCACGGUGUCAUUAACCCGUUAGGUAACCAUGCCCUUUUGUGGGGGAUAACCAUGGAGAAAUUCUGGCUAAUACCGCAUACGUUAGUACGACAUGGGAAAAGUACUAGAAAGGAUGCCUCUACUUGUAAGCAUUCACAGAAGGAUGGGCCUGCGUUGCAUUAGCUUGUUGGAGGGGGAAUGGCCUACCAAGGCAACGAUGCAUAGCUGGUCUGAGAGGAUGAUCAGUCACACUGGAACUGAGACACGGUCCAGACUCCUACGGGAGGCAGCAGUGGGGCAUAUUGCGCAAUGGGGGAAACCCUGACGCAGCAAUGCCGCGUGAGUGAGGAAGGCCUUCGGGUUGUAAAGCUCUGUCAGAUAGGAAGAAUGGUUAUGGGUCUAAUAGGCCUAUAAUUUGACGGUACUAUCAAAGGAAGCACCGGCUAACUUCGUGCCAGCAGCCGCGGUAAUACGAAGGGUGCAAGCGUUGUUCGGAUUUACUGGGCGUAAAGCGCGCGCAGGCGGAUUAUUAAGCCAGAUGUGAAAUCCCGGGGCUCAACCCCGGAACUGCGUCUGGAACUGGUAAUCUAGAGUUAUAGAGGGGAGAGCGGAAUUUCGCAUGUAGGGGUAAAAUCCGUAGAGAUGCGAAGGAACACCAGCGCCGAAGGGGGCUCUCUGGCUAUUAACUGACGCUGAGGCGCGAAAGCGUGGGUAGCAAACAGGAUUAGAUACCCUGGUAGUCCACGCCGUAAACGAUGAGUACUAGAUAUUGGAGCCUUUGACCGCUUCAGUGUCGCAGCUAACGCAUUAAGUACUCCGCCUGGGAAGUACGGUCGCAAGACUAAAACUCAAAGGAAUUGACGGGGGCCCGCACAAGCGGUGGAUUAUGUGGUUUAAUUCGAAGCAACGCGCAGAACCUUACCUAGGCUUGAAAUCCUGAGAAGAUCGACCAAAAUUGAUUGUGCUCUUCGGAGAACUCAGUGACAGGCGCUGCAUGGCUGUCGUCAGCUCGUGUCGUGAGAUGUUGGGUUAAGUCUCGCAACGAGCGCAACCCCUAUCCUUAGUUGCCAGCAUUAAGUUGGGCACUUUAGGGAGACUGCCUGGGUUAACCAGGAGGAAGGUGGGGAUGACGUCAAGUCCUCAUGGCCCUUAUGUCUAGGGCUACACACGUAAUCCAAUUGUGCAUACAAAGAGACGCGAUCAGGUGACUGUCAGCAAAUCUCAAAAAGUGCAUCUCAGUCCGGAUUGGAGUCUGCAACUCGACUCCAUGAAGUUGGAAUCGCUAGUAAUUGCAGAUCACGCACGUCUGCGGUGAAUAUCGUUCCCGGGCCUUGUUCAGCAGCCGCCCGUCUCUCCACUGGGACGUUGAUCUUACACUGAAAGCCGUAGAGUUGAUUCCUGACUCGGAACG
RNAcentral lists this ribosomal RNA (1416 nucleotides) under Bacteriovorax sp. B3S1-F. RNAcentral describes it as "bacterial SSU rRNA". It matches the Rfam family "Bacterial small subunit ribosomal RNA". Lineage: Bacteria; Pseudomonadati; Bdellovibrionota; Bacteriovoracia; Bacteriovoracales; Bacteriovoracaceae. The record is from RNAcentral.